RNAcentral lists this ribosomal RNA (162 nucleotides) under uncultured Pseudomonas sp. RNAcentral's name for it is "partial 16S ribosomal RNA". It matches the Rfam family "Bacterial small subunit ribosomal RNA", at positions 368 to 526 of the family's 1533-position model. Lineage: Bacteria; Pseudomonadati; Pseudomonadota; Gammaproteobacteria; Pseudomonadales; Pseudomonadaceae. The record is from RNAcentral.
AUGAUGGGCGAGCUGAUCAGCCAUGCCGCGUGUGUGAAGAAGGUCUUCGGAUUGUAAAGCACUUUAAGUUGGGAGGAAGGGCUGUAAGUUAAUACCUUGCUGUUUUGACGUUACCAACAGAAUAAGCACCGGCUAACUUCGUGCCAGCAGCCGCGGUAAUNA